Regulatory RNA element from Williamsia sterculiae, 42 nucleotides. It matches the Rfam family "L31-Actinobacteria ribosomal protein leader". Lineage: Bacteria; Bacillati; Actinomycetota; Actinomycetes; Mycobacteriales; Nocardiaceae. The record is from Rfam.
CCGGUUCCGGUUCACACCUGCGGUGCAGGUGACCCGGCGACC